This 506-nucleotide ribosomal RNA is filed under the name uncultured bacterium. RNAcentral's name for it is "partial 16S ribosomal RNA". It matches the Rfam family "Bacterial small subunit ribosomal RNA", at positions 29 to 523 of the family's 1533-position model. The record is from RNAcentral.
AGUGAACGCUGGCGGUAGGCCUAACACAUGCAAGUCGAACGGCAGCACAGGAGAGCUUGCUCUCUGGGUGGCGAGUGGCGGACGGGUGAGGAAUACAUCGGAAUCUACUCUGUCGUGGGGGAUAACGUAGGGAAACUUACGCUAAUACCGCAUACGACCUACGGGUGAAAGCAGGGGAUCUUCGGACCUUGCGCGAUUGAAUGAGCCGAUGUCGGAUUAGCUAGUUGGCGGGGUAAAGGCCAACCAAGGCGACGAUCCGUAGCUGGUCUGAGAGGUUGAUCAGGCACACUGGAACUGAGCCACGGUCCAGACUCCUACGGGAGGCAGCAGUGGGGAAUAUUGGACAAUGGGCGCAAGCCUGAUCCAGCCAUACCGCGUGGGUGAAGAAGGCCUUCGGGUUGUAAAGCCCUUUUGUUGGGAAAGAAAUCCAGCUGGCUAAUACCCGGUUGGGAUGACGGUACCCGAAGAAUAAGCACCGGCUAACUUCGUGCCAGCCGCCGCCGUAA